RNAcentral lists this ribosomal RNA (205 nucleotides) under uncultured bacterium. RNAcentral's name for it is "partial 16S ribosomal RNA". It matches the Rfam family "Bacterial small subunit ribosomal RNA", at positions 1296 to 1500 of the family's 1533-position model. The record is from RNAcentral.
GAUUGGAGUCUGCAACCCGACUCCAUGAAGCUGGAUUCGCUAGUAAUCGCGGAUCAGAAUGCCGCGGUGAAUACGUUCCCGGGUCUUGUACACACCGCCCGUCACACCAUGGGAGUCGGAAAUGCCCGAAGUCUGUGACCGAACCGAGAGGGAGGAGCAGCCGAAGGCAGGUCGGAUGACUGGGGUGAAGUCGUAACAAGGUAUC